This 3006-nucleotide ribosomal RNA is filed under the name Salmonella enterica. Its description in RNAcentral is "bacterial LSU rRNA". It matches the Rfam family "Bacterial large subunit ribosomal RNA". Lineage: Bacteria; Pseudomonadati; Pseudomonadota; Gammaproteobacteria; Enterobacterales; Enterobacteriaceae. The record is from RNAcentral.
UUAAGCGACUAAGCGUACACGGUGGAUGCCCUGGCAGUCAGAGGCGAUGAAGGACGUGCUAAUCUGCGAUAAGCGCCGGUAAGGUGAUAUGAACCGUUAUAACCGGCGAUUUCCGAAUGGGGAAACCCAGUGUGACUCGUCACACUAUCAUUAACUGAAUCCAUAGGUUAAUGAGGCGAACCGGGGGAACUGAAACAUCUAAGUACCCCGAGGAAAAGAAAUCAACCGAGAUUCCCCCAGUAGCGGCGAGCGAACGGGGAGGAGCCCAGAGCCUGAAUCAGCAUGUGUGUUAGUGGAAGCGUCUGGAAAGGCGCGCGAUACAGGGUGACAGCCCCGUACACAAAAGCGCAUGUGCUGUGAGCUCGAUGAGUAGGGCGGGACACGUGGUAUCCUGUCUGAAUAUGGGGGGACCAUCCUCCAAGGCUAAAUACUCCUGACUGACCGAUAGUGAACCAGUACCGUGAGGGAAAGGCGAAAAGAACCCCGGCGAGGGGAGUGAAAAAGAACCUGAAACCGUGUACGUACAAGCAGUGGGAGCCCCACCACCAAAGCAUUCUCUGGUGUUGAAGGCCCUGCAAAGCAGCAUCGCGGUGGCGGAGCGUCGUUUGCGACGCCCAACACACAAAACAAGCGGUGAGUGCUUUGGGGUGGGGUGACUGCGUACCUUUUGUAUAAUGGGUCAGCGACUUAUAUUCUGUAGCAAGGUUAACCGAAUAGGGGAGCCGGAGGGAAACCGAGUCUUAAUUGGGCGUUAAGUUGCAGGGUAUAGACCCGAAACCCGGUGAUCUAGCCAUGGGCAGGUUGAAGGUUGGGUAACACUAACUGGAGGACCGAACCGACUAAUGUUGAAAAAUUAGCGGAUGACCUGUGGCUGGGGGUGAAAGGCCAAUCAAACCGGGAGAUAGCUGGUUCUCCCCGAAAGCUAUUUAGGUAGCGCCUCGUGAAUUCAUCUCCGGGGGUAGAGCACUGUUUCGGCUAGGGGGCCAUCCCGGCUUACCAACCCGAUGCAAACUGCGAAUACCGGAGAAUGUUAUCACGGGAGACACACGGCGGGUGCUAACGUCCGUCGUGAAGAGGGAAACAACCCAGACCGCCAGCUAAGGUCCCAAAGUCAUGGUUAAGUGGGAAACGAUGUGGGAAGGCCCAGACAGCCAGGAUGUUGGCUUAGAAGCAGCCAUCAUUUAAAGAAAGCGUAAUAGCUCACUGGUCGAGUCGGCCUGCGCGGAAGAUGUAACGGGGCUAAACCAUGCACCGAAGCUGCGGCAGCGACGCUGAUGCGUUGUUGGGUAGGGGAGCGUUCUGUAAGCCUGUGAAGGUGGCCUGUGAGGGUUGCUGGAGGUAUCAGAAGUGCGAAUGCUGACAUAAGUAACGAUAAAGCGGGUGAAAAGCCCGCUCGCCGGAAGACCAAGGGUUCCUGUCCAACGUUAAUCGGGGCAGGGUGAGUCGACCCCUAAGGCGAGGCCGAAAGGCGUAGUCGAUGGGAAACGGGUUAAUAUUCCCGUACUUGGUGUUACUGCGAAGGGGGGACGGAGAAGGCUAUGUUGGCCGGGCGACGGUUGUCCCGGUUUAAGCGUGUAGGUGUGUGUUCCAGGUAAAUCCGGUUCACUUUAACACUGAGGCGUGAUGACGAGGCACUACGGUGCUGAAGCAACAAAUGCCCUGCUUCCAGGAAAAGCCUCUAAGCAUCAGGUAACAUCAAAUCGUACCCCAAACCGACACAGGUGGUCAGGUAGAGAAUACCAAGGCGCUUGAGAGAACUCGGGUGAAGGAACUAGGCAAAAUGGUGCCGUAACUUCGGGAGAAGGCACGCUGACACGUAGGUGAAGUGAUUUACUCACGGAGCUGAAGUCAGUCGAAGAUACCAGCUGGCUGCAACUGUUUAUUAAAAACACAGCACUGUGCAAACACGAAAGUGGACGUAUACGGUGUGACGCCUGCCCGGUGCCGGAAGGUUAAUUGAUGGGGUCAGCGCAAGCGAAGCUCCUGAUCGAAGCCCCGGUAAACGGCGGCCGUAACUAUAACGGUCCUAAGGUAGCGAAAUUCCUUGUCGGGUAAGUUCCGACCUGCACGAAUGGCGUAAUGAUGGCCAGGCUGUCUCCACCCGAGACUCAGUGAAAUUGAACUCGCUGUGAAGAUGCAGUGUACCCGCGGCAAGACGGAAAGACCCCGUGAACCUUUACUAUAGCUUGACACUGAACAUUGAGCCUUGAUGUGUAGGAUAGGUGGGAGGCUUUGAAGUGUGGACGCCAGUCUGCAUGGAGCCGACCUUGAAAUACCACCCUUUAAUGUUUGAUGUUCUAACGUGGACCCGUAAUCCGGGUUGCGGACAGUGUCUGGUGGGUAGUUUGACUGGGGCGGUCUCCUCCUAAAGAGUAACGGAGGAGCACGAAGGUUGGCUAAUCCUGGUCGGACAUCAGGAGGUUAGUGCAAUGGCAUAAGCCAGCUUGACUGCGAGCGUGACGGCGCGAGCAGGUGCGAAAGCAGGUCAUAGUGAUCCGGUGGUUCUGAAUGGAAGGGCCAUCGCUCAACGGAUAAAAGGUACUCCGGGGAUAACAGGCUGAUACCGCCCAAGAGUUCAUAUCGACGGCGGUGUUUGGCACCUCGAUGUCGGCUCAUCACAUCCUGGGGCUGAAGUAGGUCCCAAGGGUAUGGCUGUUCGCCAUUUAAAGUGGUACGCGAGCUGGGUUUAGAACGUCGUGAGACAGUUCGGUCCCUAUCUGCCGUGGGCGCUGGAGAACUGAGGGGGGCUGCUCCUAGUACGAGAGGACCGGAGUGGACGCAUCACUGGUGUUCGGGUUGUCAUGCCAAUGGCACUGCCCGGUAGCUAAAUGCGGAAGAGAUAAGUGCUGAAAGCAUCUAAGCACGAAACUUGCCCCGAGAUGAGUUCUCCCUGAGACUUAAAGUCUCCUGAAGGAACGUUGAAGACGACGACGUUGAUAGGCCGGGUGUGUAAGCGCAGCGAUGCGUUGAGCUAACCGGUACUAAUGAACCGUGAGGCUUAACCUU